Rosa chinensis is the source of this 1109-nucleotide RNA transcript. It is a transcript of the gene named protein CHROMATIN REMODELING 35, with no coding region annotated. The record is from RefSeq and is a predicted model, not a curated record. The transcript has 3 exons. Lineage: Eukaryota; Viridiplantae; Streptophyta; Magnoliopsida; Rosales; Rosaceae.
UACUCUCCAAAAGGAUAAGGAUUUUAGAAGGAAGGUGACUGUCAUACAUGACUUGUGUGAGAUGACCAACAAGGUCCUUCAUUACUAUAAAGGAGAUUCCCUAGAUGAGCUUCCAGGCCUUGUUGGCAGAAGCAGAAACUAGCAAAGGAAAUGAAGAAGUUUGUAAAGAAGUUCAAGCAACCAAAUUUGUACUCCAUCUCUAAGGAAUGGAAACCCACUGAUACGAAUGAAAAAUGGAUGAAUUGGUGGACACAACAGAUUUACAAGAAGGAACCAAGGCAAAAUUCUUUCUAAAUAUGCUGAGCUUAUGUGAGUCAUUGGGUGAGAAACUUUUGUUUUUCAGUCCGUACCUUGCACCUUUGAAAUUUUUAGAGAGAUUAACAGUCAAAACGAAGGGUUGGACUUCUGGAAGAGAAAUAUUUGUGAUCACAGGUGGAUCAAAGUCUGGGAAUCAGGUAUGGUCCAUGAAGGGGUUUAACAAUUCACCUGAUGCUAAGGUCCUCUUCGGCUCAAUCAAGGCAUGCAGAGAGGGUAUAUCUCUUGUAGGGGCUUUGCGCGUCAUAGUUUUGGAUGUCCAUCUUAAUCCCUCAGUGACCCGACAAGCAAUUGGCCGUGCAUUUAGUCCUGGUCAAAAGAGGAAAGUCUUUGUAUAUAGAUUGGUAGCUGGUGAUAGCCCUGAAGAGGAAGAUCAUAAAACUUUCUUGCAAAAGGAAUUAAUUGCCAAGCUGUGGUUUGAAUGGAAUGAAUAUUGUGGUUAUCGGGAUUUUGGAGUGGAUACUGUUGAUGUGAAAGAUUGUGCUGAUCUGUUCCUUGAAUGUCCAGUGUUAGGAGAAGAUGUAAAGUUUCUCUAUAGAAGGUAGGUCUUGCCGUCAUCAUAAGGCUGAGGUACAGAAAGGGAGAGACGUCACAAUUGGUUUUAAACAUGCAGCUGUUAACUUUAAUCAGUAUGGGAAUGAAUAUAUCUUAGUACGGGCAGAUGAAAAUGGUUGUGGCUGAUGGAGUGGUGGGACCGCAUUAUAGAGGGGAUUGACAUUGAAGAAGUAGGUAUCAAUGAGGUGUGAAGGAGUUGGCACCACCACAUUGGGAGGAAUAGUGUGGCAUCAAGUCAU